Molecule: ribosomal RNA, 728 nt
Filed under: Bradyrhizobium sp. SjCL5
Lineage: Bacteria; Pseudomonadati; Pseudomonadota; Alphaproteobacteria; Hyphomicrobiales; Nitrobacteraceae
Description: bacterial SSU rRNA
Rfam family: Bacterial small subunit ribosomal RNA
Source: RNAcentral
CAAUACGUCAGCGGCAGACGGGUGAGUAACGCGUGGGAACAUACCUUUUGGUUCGGAACAACACAGGGAAACUUGUGCUAAUACCGGAUAAGCCCUUACGGGGAAAGAUUUAUCGCCGAAAGAUUGGCCCGCGUCUGAUUAGCUAGUUGGUGAGGUAAUGGCUCACCAAGGCGACGAUCAGUAGCUGGUCUGAGAGGAUGAUCAGCCACAUUGGGACUGAGACACGGCCCAAACUCCUACGGGAGGCAGCAGUGGGGAAUAUUGGACAAUGGGGGCAACCCUGAUCCAGCCAUGCCGCGUGAGUGAUGAAGGCCCUAGGGUUGUAAAGCUCUUUUGUGCGGGAAGAUAAUGACGGUACCGCAAGAAUAAGCCCCGGCUAACUUCGUGCCAGCAGCCGCGGUAAUACGAAGGGGGCUAGCGUUGCUCGGAAUCACUGGGCGUAAAGGGUGCGUAGGCGGGUCUUUAAGUCAGGGGUGAAAUCCUGGAGCUCAACUCCAGAACUGCCUUUGAUACUGAAGAUCUUGAGUUCGGGAGAGGUGAGUGGAACUGCGAGUGUAGAGGUGAAAUUCGUAGAUAUUCGCAAGAACACCAGUGGCGAAGGCGGCUCACUGGCCCGAUACUGACGCUGAGGCACGAAAGCGUGGGGAGCAAACAGGAUUAGAUACCCUGGUAGUCCCACGCCGUAAAACGAUGAAUGCCACCCGUUAGUGGGGUUUACUCACUAGUGG